This 473-nucleotide ribosomal RNA is filed under the name uncultured bacterium. RNAcentral describes it as "bacterial SSU rRNA". It matches the Rfam family "Bacterial small subunit ribosomal RNA", at positions 30 to 523 of the family's 1533-position model. The record is from RNAcentral.
AUUGAACGCUGGCGGCAUGCCUUACACAUGCAAGUCGAACGGCAGCACGGGAGCAAUCCUGGUGGCGAGUGGCGAACGGGUGAGUAAUAUAUCGGAACGUGCCCGGUCGUGGGGAUAACGUAGCGAAAGCUACGCUAAUACCGCAUACGAUCUACGGAUGAAAGCGGGGGAUCGCAAGACCUCGCGCGAUUGGAGCGGCCGAUAUCAGAUUAGGUAGUUGGUGAGGUAAAGGCUCACCAAGCCGACGAUCUGUAGCUGGUCUGAGAGGACGACCAGCCACACUGGGACUGAGACACGGCCCAGACUCCUACGGGAGGCAGCAGUGGGGAAUAUUGGACAAUGGGCGAAGCCUGAUCCAGCAAUGCCGCGUGAGUGAUGAAGGCCUUAGGGUUGUAAAGCUCUUUUACCCGAGAUGAUAAUGACAGUAUCGGGAGAAUAAGCUCCGGCUAACUCCGUGCCAGCAGCCGCGGUAA